RNAcentral lists this ribosomal RNA (253 nucleotides) under uncultured bacterium. RNAcentral describes it as "partial 16S ribosomal RNA". It matches the Rfam family "Bacterial small subunit ribosomal RNA", at positions 524 to 776 of the family's 1533-position model. The record is from RNAcentral.
UACGAGAGCCUCGAGCGUUAUCCGGAAUUAUUGGGCGUAAAGGGUGCGUAGGUUGUUCUGUUAGUCUUUUGUCAAAACCCUGAGCUUAACUUAGGGAUCGCGAAAGAAACGGCAGAACUUGAAAGUGCGAGAGGCGUACGGAACUCAUGGUGUAGGGGUGAAAUCCGUUGAUAUCAUGGGGAACACCAAAAGCGAAAGCAGUACGCUGGCGCAUAUUUGACACUGAAGCACGAAAGCAUGGGUAGCGAAUGGG